AGUGAACGCUGGCGGUAGGCCUAACACAUGCAAGUCGAACGGCAGCACAGUAAGAGCUUGCUCUUACGGGUGGCGAGUGGCGGACGGGUGAGGAAUACAUCGGAAUCUACUUUUUCGUGGGGGAUAACGUAGGGAAACUUCCGCUAAUACCGCAUACGACCUACGGGUGAAAGCAGGGGAUCUUCGGACCUUGCGCGAUUGAAUGCGCCGAUGUCGGAUUAGCUAGUUGGCGGGGUAAAGGCCCACCAAGGCGACGAUCCGUAGCUGGUCUGAGAGGAUGAUCAGCCACACUGGAACUGAGACACGGUCCAGACUCCUACGGGAGGCAGCAGUGGGGAAUAUUGGACAAUGGGCGCAAGCCUGAUCCAGCCAUACCGCGUGGGUGAAGAAGGCCUUCGGGUUGUAAAGCCCUUUUGUUGGGAAAGAAAAGCAGCAGGUUAAUACCCCGCUGUUCUGACGGUACCCAAAGAAUAAGCACCGGCUAACUUCGUG
Molecule: ribosomal RNA, 492 nt
Filed under: uncultured bacterium
Lineage: Bacteria
Description: partial 16S ribosomal RNA
Rfam family: Bacterial small subunit ribosomal RNA
Source: RNAcentral